This 261-nucleotide ribosomal RNA is filed under the name uncultured prokaryote. Its description in RNAcentral is "partial 16S ribosomal RNA". It matches the Rfam family "Bacterial small subunit ribosomal RNA", at positions 524 to 784 of the family's 1533-position model. The record is from RNAcentral.
UACGUAGGGGACGAGCGUUGUCCGGAAUUACUGGGCGUAAAGGGCGCGCAGGCUGCGUUACAAGUCAGCUGUUAAAUGCAUGGGCUUACCCCAUGAGUGCGGUUGAAACUGUAGUGCUAGAGUACUGUAGAGGCAAGCGGAAUUCCCAGUGUAGCGGUGAAAUGCGUAGAUAUUGGGAGGAACACCGGUGGCGUAGGCGGCUUGCUGGACAGAUACUGACGCUGAGGCGCGAAAGCUAGGGGAGCAAACGGGGAUUAGAUA